GGAAAUUGAAACUACCUCCAAGCCAAAGAGCACUAUUUUACUUUCUAACACAUUGAUUGUGCAAAUCCAUCCUCAACAUUAACACUCCCCUACUCUAGUCCAUCAGCCAAAACAAUUGUUUUCAUCACACAUGUUGAAAUUCAAACCAUCUCAAUGGAAUUGCUCUCAUCUUCCCCCAAGAGGUUCCACAUGCAGUAGAAAUGUAGUCUAGAUCUUUAACUAAAAAAAAAAGGAAGAGCA
RNAcentral lists this unclassified non-coding RNA (240 nucleotides) under Hevea brasiliensis (rubber tree). Lineage: Eukaryota; Viridiplantae; Streptophyta; Magnoliopsida; Malpighiales; Euphorbiaceae. The record is from RNAcentral.